GCCAGCAGCCAUAUCACUCUGCAACUCAAAACUGGCAACCCACUGAAGUUAAGCAGGUGUGAGCCUGGUCAGUACCUGGAUGGGAGACCUCCUGGGAAAAACUAAGCUAAGGUUGCUGCUGGAA
Molecule: ribosomal RNA, 124 nt
Organism: Lepisosteus oculatus (spotted gar)
Lineage: Eukaryota; Metazoa; Chordata; Actinopteri; Semionotiformes; Lepisosteidae
Source: Ensembl